GAUGAACGCUGGCGGCGUGCUUAACACAUGCAAGUCGAACGAGAAUCUACGGAUAGAGGAUUCCGUCCAAUUGAAGUAGAGGAAAGUGGCGGACGGGUGAGUAACGCGUGAGGAACCUGCCUAGGAGUGGGGGAAUAACAGUCCGAAAAGGACUGCUAAUACCGCAUAAUGCAGUUGGGUCGCAUGGCUCUGACUGCCAAAGAUUUAUCGCUCUUAGAUGGCCUCGCGUCUGAUUAGCUAGUUGGUAGGGUAACGGCCUACCAAGGCGACGAUCAGUAGCCGGUCUGGGAGGAUGAACGGCCACAUUGGGACUGAGAUACCGGCCCAGACUCCUACGGGAGGCAGCAGGUGGGGAAUAUUGGGCAAUGGGGGAAACCCUGACCCAGCAACGCCGCGUGAAGGAAGAAGGCCUUCGGGUUGUAAACCUUUGUUGACAGGGAAGAAGAAAGUGACGGUACCUGUAAAGAAAGCCACGGCUAAUUACGUG
RNAcentral lists this ribosomal RNA (487 nucleotides) under uncultured bacterium. RNAcentral's name for it is "bacterial SSU rRNA". It matches the Rfam family "Bacterial small subunit ribosomal RNA", at positions 28 to 507 of the family's 1533-position model. The record is from RNAcentral.